RNAcentral lists this small RNA (106 nucleotides) under Marmota monax (woodchuck). Lineage: Eukaryota; Metazoa; Chordata; Mammalia; Rodentia; Sciuridae. The record is from RNAcentral.
GCAGGAUGCGGUGGCCACGCCUGUAAUCCCAGCAGCUCAGGAGGCUGAGGCAGGAGGAUUGCAAGUUCAAGGCCCGACUCAGCAACUUAGCAAGACCCUGUCUCAA